This 63-nucleotide microRNA precursor is filed under the name Heliconius melpomene (postman butterfly). Its description in RNAcentral is "Hme-Iab-4-as_pre stem-loop". Lineage: Eukaryota; Metazoa; Arthropoda; Insecta; Lepidoptera; Nymphalidae. The record is from RNAcentral.
UUACGUAUACUGAAGGUAUACCGGAAAGAAUGAGACACUCAGGAUACAUUCAGUAUACGUACA